This 253-nucleotide ribosomal RNA is filed under the name uncultured bacterium. Its description in RNAcentral is "partial 16S ribosomal RNA". It matches the Rfam family "Bacterial small subunit ribosomal RNA", at positions 524 to 776 of the family's 1533-position model. The record is from RNAcentral.
UACAGAGACUGCGAGCGUUAUUCGGAUUCACUGGGCGUAAAGGGUGCGCAGGCGGCCAAGUGUGUUAGGCGUGAAAGCCUGGGGCUUAACCUCAGAAUUGCACCUAAAACUACAUGGCUAGAGCAUUGGAGAGGGUAGCGGAAUUCACGGUGUAGCAGUGAAAUGCGUAGAUAUCGUGAGGAAUACCAGAGGCGAAGGCGGCUACCUGGACAAUUGCUGACGCUCAGGCACGAAAGCGUGGGGAGCAAAAGGG